RNAcentral lists this ribosomal RNA (497 nucleotides) under uncultured bacterium. RNAcentral's name for it is "partial 16S ribosomal RNA". It matches the Rfam family "Bacterial small subunit ribosomal RNA", at positions 28 to 507 of the family's 1533-position model. The record is from RNAcentral.
GAUGAACGCUGGCGGCGUGCCUAAUACAUGCAAGUCGAGCGAACAGACGAGGCGCUUGCUCCUCUGACGUUAGCGGCGGAGGGGUGAGUAACACGUGGAUAACCUACCUAUAAGACUGGGAUAACUUCGGGAAACCGGAGCUAAUACCGGAUAAUAUAUUGAACCGCAUGGUUCAAUAGUGAAAGACGGUUUUGCUGUCACUUAUAGAUGGAUCCGCGCCGCAUGAGCUAGUAGGUAAGGUAACGGCUUACCAAGGCAAGGAUGCGUAGCCGACCUGAGAGGGUGAUAGGCGGCACGGGAGCGGAGACACGGUCUAGACUCCUAAGGGAGGCCGCAGUAGGGAAUCUGCCGCAAUGGGCGAAAGCCUGACGGAGCAACGCCGCGUGUGUGAUGAAGGUCUUCGGAUCGUAAAACUCUGUUAUUAGUGAAGAACAAAUGUGUAAGGAACUAUGCACGUCUUGACGGUACCUAAUCAGAAAGCCACGGCUAACUACGUG